UCACCCAUCCUAGUACUACUCUCGCCCAAGCACGCUUAACUUCGGAGUUCUGAUGGGAUCCGGUGCGUUAGUGCUGGUUUGAUCGCAUCCAACAUUCCUUGCACUCUAAAUUCUCUUUAACACCUUUCCUCCUUCCGCUUUUGGUGCAAAGGUGUAAAGCCUUAAAACGACAUACACUUUACGCCCAUUUAUCCGUUUUACGCAAUUCUUCUUUUGAUUUCUACUAUUUUUCGCGGGCAAAGGCAUUCACCACCAACAACAAGCUGCACUCGACGAUAAUAUCACAAUCACAAUCGACGACGUCGCAACUAGACGUUUUACGGAAGUAGUGACAUGUCAAGCGCAACUAGACUUAAGGAUUAACCUCGUAAAUAUUUUUCUUAUUUGCUGCAUAUUGCUUUUUCUCACAAUUAUUUUCUUUAAAAAAAAAUUAUUAUUUCAUGUAAAAAAAAAUAUCGUUCAUAUCAAGUAAAACUCAUUUGUGAAUUUAUUAGAGCUACCGCCGAUAUAUUAAAAGAAGUAAGUUGCAAAUAUUGCCAAAAAUAAAGGGAUGCAACACGAGGACUUCCCAGAGGGUCACCCAUCCUAGUACUACUCUCGCCCAAGCACGCUUAACUUCAGAGUUCUGAUGGGAUCCGGUGCGUUAGUGCUGGUAUGAUCGCAUCCGACAUUCCUUGCACUCUAAAUUCUCUUUAACACCUUUCCUCCUUCCGCUUUUGGUGCGAAGGUGUAAAGCCUUAAAACGACAUACACUUUACGCCUAUUUAUCCGUUUUAUCACAAUCGACGACGUCGCAACUAGACGUUUUACGGAUGUAAUGACAUGUCAAGCGCAACUAGACUUGUUAACGGAUGUAGUGACAUGUACAUACACUUUCCACGCUUCAUAUCUAGUCCAUGCACCAUCAAGGUUUGAGCCAUUGUACUUGAGGUACAAAAAUAGCCAAGAUAUAUCUAUGAAAUUCAAAAUGAUAGGUAAAAUGAGACGUUGCUUUCAUCCAGGUUUGAACCGUUGUUGUGGAGGUACAUAUAGCCAAAGUGUAAUGGAUAAACCAAUGAGCCAAGUUACACAUAUCUACAUGUUUAUGCUAUUUUAAAUAUAGAUAUUAAUCACUAAAGAGAUUUGCUUCGUUUUUUGAAGUUGAAUUUCAAACACUGAAAUUGACAUACACAUUCGGAGUAUCGCGGACAUUUCGACCUUGAACUCUUUUUUUCCAUCUAAUUAUAC
RNAcentral lists this long non-coding RNA (1227 nucleotides) under Nicotiana tabacum (common tobacco). RNAcentral describes it as "long non-coding RNA (NTAB_LNC019398)". The record is from RNAcentral. Lineage: Eukaryota; Viridiplantae; Streptophyta; Magnoliopsida; Solanales; Solanaceae.